UGUAGAGCCCUGUGGGCAAGGAGCUGGCAGAGCACCACUGUUUUCUUUUCUUCUUUCUUUCCUUUCCUUGCAGGAAAAAUGACCAUUGGAUUCCAUGCCUGGCAGAGAGUUGGUCUUAUCUCUGGACUCUAAAGACACAGGGCAAGAGAGAUGAAUUGCUAAAACACCACCUGAAGCUUCUGUGAAAAGAAAGCUAAGUAUGCAAGAGUCAGCCAGAGAUCUACUGACUUCAGCUCAAACAAGGUACCGCUUUUUAACUUCUCUAAGUUAAAGCCAUAGGAGAAGUCUGCUUUCAAAAUCAAGUUUUUUUAGUUUUUGACACGCUGCUGGAUUUUGUGUGCUUGAAAAAGUUUACAUUUUUGUUUUCUUUUGCUGUACUAAGUUAAGUCAUUGAUGCUUCUAUUUACUUAUAAAUGUUUAUACUACAAAGAUUUCUGACUUAAAGGUAAGCAUCCUACUAAUGAACACAAAAGUACAGUUGCCAAAUAUUUCCA
Molecule: long non-coding RNA, 494 nt
Filed under: Numida meleagris (helmeted guineafowl)
Lineage: Eukaryota; Metazoa; Chordata; Aves; Galliformes; Numididae
Description: lncRNA (ENSNMEG00000013990.1)
Source: RNAcentral